This 77-nucleotide transfer RNA is filed under the name Actinomyces sp. RNAcentral describes it as "tRNA-Val". It matches the Rfam family "tRNA". Rfam says of the family: Transfer RNA (tRNA) molecules are approximately 80 nucleotides in length. Their secondary structure includes four short double-helical elements and three loops (D, anti-codon, and T loops). RNAcentral also lists the same sequence under 3 other names. The record is from RNAcentral. Lineage: Bacteria; Bacillati; Actinomycetota; Actinomycetes; Actinomycetales; Actinomycetaceae.
GGACCUGUAGCUCAGUUGGUUAGAGUAUCUGGUUUACACCCAGAGGGUCGUGGGUUCGAGUCCCGCCGGGUCCACCA